This 253-nucleotide ribosomal RNA is filed under the name uncultured bacterium. Its description in RNAcentral is "partial 16S ribosomal RNA". It matches the Rfam family "Bacterial small subunit ribosomal RNA", at positions 524 to 776 of the family's 1533-position model. The record is from RNAcentral.
UACAGAGGGUGCAAGCGUUAAUCGGAAUUACUGGGCGUAAAGCGUGCGUAGGCGGUUAUGUAAGUUAGGUGUGAAAGCCCCGGGCUCAACCUGGGAAUUGCAUUUAAGACUGCAUAGCUAGGGUGCGGAAGAGGGAAGCGGAAUUUCCGGUGUAGCGGUGAAAUGCGUAGAUAUCGGAAGGAACACCAGUGGCGAAAGCGGCUUCCUGGUCCAGCACCGACGUUCAGGCACGAAAGCGUGGGGAGCAAACAGG